RNAcentral lists this ribosomal RNA (279 nucleotides) under uncultured bacterium. RNAcentral's name for it is "partial 16S ribosomal RNA". It matches the Rfam family "Bacterial small subunit ribosomal RNA", at positions 338 to 614 of the family's 1533-position model. The record is from RNAcentral.
CCUACGGGAGGCAGCAGUGAGGAAUAUUGGUCAAUGCCCGAGAGGCUGAUCCAGCCAAGUCGCGUGAGGGAAGACGGCCCUACGGGUUGUAAACCUCAUUUGUCGGGGAGCAAAGCGAACCACGUGUGGUUAAUUGAGAGUACCCGAAGAAAAAGAAUCGGCUAACUCCGUGCCAGCAGCCGCGGUAAUACGGGGGAUGCGAGCGUUAUCCGGAUUUAUUGGGUUUAAAGGGGGCGCAGGCGGAGGGGCAAGUCAGCGGUCAAAUUGCGGGGCUCAACC